This is a long non-coding RNA of Cotesia glomerata, 461 nucleotides long. RefSeq lists it as uncharacterized. The record is from RefSeq and is a predicted model, not a curated record. The transcript has 2 exons. Lineage: Eukaryota; Metazoa; Arthropoda; Insecta; Hymenoptera; Braconidae.
UUUUUACAAACUUUUCCUUUUAAUUUCUCUAUUAUUUUAAUUAUCAUUAUUCUCUCGCUACCUUUAUAUUCCUCCCACUCAGACAUCAGAUCUUUACAAUCAUUACUUAAUUUCUCAAUAAGUCUAAAAAUAUUUGUCCUUAAAAAAAAAUAAAUAAAUAAAUUCCAAGUCCGUAUUUUUAAAUACUCAAUAUAGAUCGCUCCACUCGUCAAAUUAAAUUACAUGGAUUCAUGGAGGAAGAAAAAAUCUUAUUCUCAUUCAGAACAUUCAGAACAUUAGCAUUCGGUUUUAUAGCUUACAGUUAUCCCAUUUGGUCUUCUGUUUCAUUCAAUACUUCUCUAGAGAGAAAAAAUAUAAGGCUUUGUUUCUUAUCUUAAGUAUCGGAUUUCUCUGUAAAAACAAUAGGAAUCAAACUGGACGACGUUUUAUUGGUUGAUCAAUGCAAAAAGGAUUGAAGAAUU